UCUUUUUAAGUUAUAUAUAUAUAUAUAUAUUGGUCUACAUUAAAAUGACAUGUUUACAGGACUGUAUAUUUGCUGUAUGUUUAAUUAAGGUAGGACCCAGUCUCAAGGCAGUUCGUGUAAUUUAAUCUAUUGAUUCGUGUCCAUGGACACGAUUUUCCCCUUUUUUCGUGCCAGUCAGAACGACUUUCAAUCUAAUGUAUUUCAAUAGGAAGUAUUUUUCGUGCCUGCACCACGUUUUUUUGUCCUAUUAUUUUUUUCGUGUUUAUAAGCACGAAUGUAAUCUAAUGUAUUGCAAUGGUAUAUACCAGGGAUUGUUUUACUUUAUUUGUCAUUAAUUGAUUACACUUUAAGCGCUACUUUACUCAACAUUUAAUCAGGAGAUGUUUAUCCUAUAAUAUUGAUUUUUCGAUCGGUUUCGUGUGUCAAAUACAAGAGUAAAUACUACAGUACCCAUGAGCCUUAUCGACAUCUACUAUGGUGAAGGCACCAGCUAAAACUACAUGUGGGCCCGCUGCAGAUCACAAUAUUUUCUCAACACAUGAACACUAACGUGUGCUUGAUAAUUCAACAAUACGAUGUUAUGGCCAUCAAUUUUGAUUGUUUCUACUUUGAUUGUAAAAAAAAAUAAGUCAGUUUCGGACGCCUGCAUUUCCCAGAAUCCUCUCUGCCUCCGUUGCUAUGGAAUCUGAGCCAGUCCUCUUUGCUAUUGGGUGAUUUCUUCUUCGGUACUCGUGACAGGGAUUCUCUCAUUACGCGAAAAUCACUGUCCAGCUGUGUGUUUGUCUUUCUGUCUUUGUCUGCUUUGCAAUGGCCACCAGAUAUACCCCUCACAAACAGGAUCCCCACUACCAAGAGGGGAGGCUCAUGGCUCUUGAGCUGAACCAUGACCACAUUCUAGCUGAAGCCAAGAGAGCAGCUGUGGAGACGAAACGUUUAUGCCCUAGAAGAGACCCUUCACAGACCUCUAAAAGGAUCUUUGUUGGCUGGGGCAAGCCGAGGGGGAGGCAAGGAGGGUGACGCCAAGCCUCAGCUACAGGUCAGUUUUACAGGUUGAGUGCUUCCUGUCAUCCAGUGUGGAGUUUCCACUUAACUGUACCCUCAGCAAAACUAAAUCCUCAUGAGGAAUUUGGUGCAGAGAGUGGUUCUGUGGGGACCGUGAUGUAUUACGUCACAAAAAACAGCCACUCCCCAAUAGGGAAUGUGUAAUUAAUAGGUUUUUUGUAGCCAUCCGUCCAACCAAAUGCAUCAUUAAAGGGGAAGAUGGAUAUUGCACUCAACACAAGAUAUGUUCAUCAUUCACCAGUUCUCACUUCCCUGGACUUCAACCUUGCUACACACAUGGUAUCGUUAUUAAUCGAAACAAAGACAGAUAUCUUUAUAUUUUUGUUCUCUGCAGACAAACAAAAAAUGUUAGCUGUUGCAAAGCAAUUUGGUGAGUUAGCAAAUGAUACUACUCGAGAAGUUAGGCAGAAGGAGUGCUAUACUGGGAUUAUAGAAACUUAUAAGAUGUCUCUUAAACAUUCACAAUGUGCAGAAUGAACUAACUGUUUUAAAAUAGUAUGUGGUAAAUGUUUUUUUUCCAAGGGCGUUUUGACUUGCCUCAGCCACUGUAUGUCUGUUAAACAUGCAAACAGCAAAGGACCCCAGACCUGAAAGACCUUCUGAGGAGUGGAUAUUGGCCAGCUUCAAUAAACAACACCACACUUUACACACUGGACCUCCUGAUCUCCUUUCAAGAACUCAAGGUCAUCUCUCCAAGCUUCUCCAGACAAGCCUUCGCAAAGCUGCUGGAGCAUCGCACGAAGUGUGGAGGAAGAUUUGAAUAUAUCAACGGCGAUGCACUGCAACGCAGCUUCUUGGAGUUUUCAUACGCUUCAUUUGAAGCAGACCAGCUCUGGUGUGGUGCUCCUUUCACCUGCCCAGCCUGAACGCUAGAAUUGUUGGCUGCUUCAGCAGAUCGAAACAGAAAGCUAUAUCGCUUUUGCCGAAACAGAAGACUGUGGCUUGCAAAUAUUGGCCAUUUGAAGAAAGUUGCUAGUGUCCUUCCUGAUCUUCAGGAGCUGACCUCAAUGAAACCUUUCCUUAAUGUUAUGCAUGCUUGAGCCACACAAAAAAGUUUGAGAUUAAAUGAAGUCAAGGAACCAGGAAGGAACAGGGACAACCACCGGUGAGUGGAGCAAGUGAACAGCUACCUUUCACGUUGUGCCCGUACAACCAAAUAUAUGUCCAAAGCAGGGGUGGACAUGCUUACAUUGCAUGCAAUGGGCUGGAACCAUAAAAAAGUAUCUCUCUACAUCAGGCACUUUCCACAAUAUAUGUGAAAAGACAUCAGAAACAUCUCAUGCCAGUCAAGGCACCACACACAGAGAACUUCAGCAGUCAAUUGAGGGGCUUUAUCUUGGUGUGAUGCUCUGCAAGCAAACUCUCUACCGUCAGAAUGACAGCAGCAAGCUUCCCUAACUGGAGAGAGCAGUGUGUCUCAGAUAUGGCCGCGGGACCUUCAUGGCAGUGGUAUGUCACUAUUCAG
Misgurnus anguillicaudatus (oriental weatherfish) is the source of this 2527-nucleotide non-coding RNA. NCBI's taxonomy places the organism in Eukaryota, Metazoa, Chordata, Actinopteri, Cypriniformes, Cobitidae. The record is from RefSeq and is a predicted model, not a curated record.